This 76-nucleotide transfer RNA is filed under the name Armatimonadota bacterium. RNAcentral describes it as "Armatimonadetes bacterium (fermentation metagenome) tRNA-Glu". It matches the Rfam family "tRNA". Rfam says of the family: Transfer RNA (tRNA) molecules are approximately 80 nucleotides in length. Their secondary structure includes four short double-helical elements and three loops (D, anti-codon, and T loops). The record is from RNAcentral. Lineage: Bacteria; Bacillati; Armatimonadota.
GGCCCGUUCGUCUAGCGGUUAGGAUACCUGGUUCUCAGCCAGGGGAUCAGGGGUUCGAAUCCCCUACGGGCUACCA